UGGAUGAACUGUGGGUAGGGGUGAAAGGCCAAUCAAACUGGGAAAUAGCUCGUACUCCCCGAAAUGCAUUUAGGUGCAGCGUUGCGUGUUUCUUGCCGGAGGUAGAGCACUGGAUAGCCGAUGGGCCCUACCAGGUUACUGACGUUAGCCAAACUCCGAAUGCCGGUAAGUGAGAGCGCAGCAGUGAGACUGCGGGGGAUAAGCUCCGUAGUCGA
Molecule: ribosomal RNA, 215 nt
Filed under: Pseudo-nitzschia fraudulenta
Lineage: Eukaryota; Bacillariophyta; Bacillariophyceae; Bacillariales; Bacillariaceae
Description: partial Bacterial large subunit ribosomal RNA
Rfam family: Bacterial large subunit ribosomal RNA
Source: RNAcentral